AUUGAACGCUGGCGGCAUGCCUUACACAUGCCAGUCGAACGGCAGCGCGGACUUCGGUCUGGCGGCGAGUGGCGAACGGGUGGGUAAUACACCGGAACGUACCCUGUUGUGGGGGAUAACUAGUCGAGAGAUUAGCUAAUACCGCAUACGAGCUGAGGGUGAAGGUGGGGGGCGGGAAGCGGGCUCCUGCAGCCGGGGCGGCCCAUGUCGGAUUGGCUAGUUGGUGGGGGAAAGGGCCUCCCAGGCGACGUGCCGGAUCGGGUCUGUGAGGGCGAUCCCCCACACUGGGACUUGGACGCGGCCCAUACUCCUACGGGAGGCCGCAGUCUGGUAUUUUGGGCAACGGUGGCAACCCUUAUCCAGCGAUGCCGCGUGUGUUAAGAAGGCCUUCGGGUUGUAAAGCACUUUUGUCCGGAAAGAAAUCGCGCUGGUUAAUACCUGGCGUGGAUGACGGUACCGGAUGAAUAAGCACCGGCUAACUACGUG
RNAcentral lists this ribosomal RNA (486 nucleotides) under uncultured bacterium. RNAcentral's name for it is "partial 16S ribosomal RNA". It matches the Rfam family "Bacterial small subunit ribosomal RNA", at positions 28 to 507 of the family's 1533-position model. The record is from RNAcentral.